This is a non-coding RNA of Podarcis lilfordi (Lilford's wall lizard), 79 nucleotides long. The record is from the annotation of a GenBank genome assembly. NCBI's taxonomy places the organism in Eukaryota, Metazoa, Chordata, Lepidosauria, Squamata, Lacertidae.
UGCAGGCAAAGCAGUCAAGUCAGUACAGCAUGAGACUUUUAAAUCUCAGGGUCGUGGGUUCGAGCCCCACGUCGGGCAA